Molecule: long non-coding RNA, 472 nt
Filed under: Pan troglodytes (chimpanzee)
Lineage: Eukaryota; Metazoa; Chordata; Mammalia; Primates; Hominidae
Description: lincRNA
Source: RNAcentral
GAGGGGGACGGGAGAGAGGGAGAGAGGGAAAGAAGGACAUGGAAACUUACCGUGAAAUUUUCGCUGUUUAUAGCUUUCUUGGGGAAGAAAACACAUGCACAAAUCCUGGUGUAAGGAAUAUUUUAAGCAUAUAUCUUCAAUAUCAUUCAUCCAGGACCGAGCAAGACCAACACUCUUCCUCCUCCUCUGCCUACUCAAUGUGAAGACAAUGAGGAUGAACACCUUUAUGAUGCUCCACUUCCACUUAUUGAAUAGUGCUACACAUGAAACUUGUAACCAGUUACUACAGGCGAAAGCAAAUCCAUGUCUUCAGGCUGGUGUCAUCAGGGAGAGAAGCUUUGGUUUCCACAUAAGGAUAUAAGAUCAUUGAUGUAAAACAAGACAUGUAACCUCUCAAAUUGAGAGAAUGUAUUGGAGAUCUAUUGUUGACCAUGUUUUCCCCUGUAUCUCACCUUCCCCUCUCCAAGACUUC